UGGGGAAUAUUGCACAAUGGAGGGAACUCUGAUGCAGCGACGCCGCGUGAACGAAGAAGGCUUUCGAGUCGUAAAGUUCUUUUAUAUGGGAAGAAAAUGACAGUACCAUACGAAUAAGGACCGGCUAAUUACGUGCCAGCAGCCGCGGUAAUACGUAAGGUCCGAGCGUUGUCCGGAAUCAUUGGGCGUAAAGGGUACGUAGGCGGAUAAGCAAGUUAGAAGUGAAAUCCUAUAGCUCAACUAUAGUAAGCUUUUAAAACUGCUCAUCUUGAGGUAUGGAAGGGAAAGUGGAAUUCCUAGUGUAGCGGUGAAAUGCGCAGAUAUUAGGAGGAAUACCGGUGGCGAAGGCGACUUUCUGGCCAUAUACUGACGCUGAGGUACGAAAGCGUGGGUAGCAAACAGG
This 403-nucleotide ribosomal RNA is filed under the name Verrucomicrobiota bacterium. RNAcentral describes it as "Verrucomicrobia bacterium partial 16S ribosomal RNA". It matches the Rfam family "Bacterial small subunit ribosomal RNA", at positions 355 to 776 of the family's 1533-position model. Lineage: Bacteria; Pseudomonadati; Verrucomicrobiota. The record is from RNAcentral.